UGAGUAAUGCUUGGGAACUUGCCUUCAGGAGGGGGAUAACAGUUGGAAACGACUGCUAAUACCGCAUAACGUCUACGGACCAAAGGGGGCUUCGGCUCCCACCUGAAGAGAGGCCCAAGUGAGAUUAGCUAGUUGGUAAGGUAAAGGCUUACCAAGGCGACGAUCUCUAGCUGUUCUGAGAGGAAGAUCAGCCACACUGGGACUGAGACACGGCCCAGACUCCUACGGGAGGCAGCAGUGGGGAAUAUUGCACAAUGGGGGAAACCCUGAUGCAGCCAUGCCGCGUGUGUGAAGAAGGCCUUCGGGUUGUAAAGCACUUUCAGUUGUGAGGAAAAGUUAGUAGUUAAUACCUACUAGCCGUGACGUUAACAACGGAAGAAGCACCGGCUAACUCCGUGCCAGCAGCCGCGGUAAUACGGAGGGUGCGAGCGUUAAUCGGAAUUACUGGGCGUAAAGCGCACGCAGGCGGUUUGUUAAGCUAGAUGUGAAAGCCCCGGGCUCAACCUGGGAUGGUCAUUUAGAACUGGCAGACUAGAGUCUUGGAGAGGGGA
RNAcentral lists this ribosomal RNA (551 nucleotides) under uncultured bacterium. Its description in RNAcentral is "bacterial SSU rRNA". It matches the Rfam family "Bacterial small subunit ribosomal RNA", at positions 107 to 660 of the family's 1533-position model. The record is from RNAcentral.